GACGAACGCUGGCGGCGUGCUUAACACAUGCAAGUCGAACGGAGUGGCGAACGGGUGAGUAACACGUGGGUGAUCUGCCUUGCAAUUCGGGAUAAGCUUGGGAACCUGGGUCUAAUACCGGAUAGUGCAAGAUGAGCUCGCGGGCUAUCAGCUUGUUGGUGGGGUAAUGGCCUACCAAGGCGUCGACGGGUAGCCGGCCUGAGAGGGUGGACGGCCACAUGGGGACUGAGAUGCGGCUCAGAGGCCUACGGGAGGCAGCGGUGGGGAAUAUGGCACAAUGGGCGGAAGCGUGAUGCGGCGACGCCGGGUGGGUGAUGAAGGCCUUCGGGGUGUAAACGCCGUUCGACAGGGACGCGGUACCUGUAUAAGAAGCACCGGCUAACUACGUGCCAGCAGCCGCGGUAAUAC
RNAcentral lists this ribosomal RNA (408 nucleotides) under uncultured bacterium. RNAcentral's name for it is "partial 16S ribosomal RNA". It matches the Rfam family "Bacterial small subunit ribosomal RNA", at positions 28 to 526 of the family's 1533-position model. The record is from RNAcentral.